AUUGAACGCUGGCGGCAGGCCUAACACAUGCAAGUCGAACGGUAACAGAAAGCAGCUUGCUGCUUUGCUGACGAGUGGCGGACGGGUGAGUAAUGUCUGGGAAACUGCCUGAUGGAGGGGGAUAACUACUGGAAACGGUAGCUAAUACCGCAUAACGUCGCAAGCCCAAAGAGGGGGACCUUCGGGCCUCUUGCCCUCGGAUGGGCCCAGAUGGGAUUAGCUUGUUGGUGGGGUAACGGCUAACCAAGGCGACGAUCCCUAGCUGGUCUGAGAGGAUGACCAGCCACACUGGAACUGAGACACGGUCCAGACUCCUACGGGAGGCAGCAGUGGGGAAUAUUGCACAAUGGGCGCAAGCCUGAUGCAGCCAUGCCGCGUGUAUGAAGAAGGCCUUCGGGUUGUAAAGUACUUUCAGCGGGGAGGAAGGGAGUAAAGUUAAUACCUUUGCUCAUUGACGUUACCCGCAGAAGAAGCACCGGCUAACUCCGUG
RNAcentral lists this ribosomal RNA (490 nucleotides) under uncultured bacterium. RNAcentral describes it as "partial 16S ribosomal RNA". It matches the Rfam family "Bacterial small subunit ribosomal RNA", at positions 30 to 507 of the family's 1533-position model. The record is from RNAcentral.